RNAcentral lists this ribosomal RNA (139 nucleotides) under Muraltia pubescens. Its description in RNAcentral is "5.8S ribosomal RNA". It matches the Rfam family "5.8S ribosomal RNA", at positions 1 to 133 of the family's 154-position model. Rfam says of the family: 5.8S ribosomal RNA (5.8S rRNA) is a component of the large subunit of the eukaryotic ribosome. It is transcribed by RNA polymerase I as part of the 45S precursor that also contains 18S and 28S rRNA. Lineage: Eukaryota; Viridiplantae; Streptophyta; Magnoliopsida; Fabales; Polygalaceae. The record is from RNAcentral.
GAACGACUCUCGGCAACGGAUAUCUCGGCUCUCGCAUCGAUGAAGAACGUAGCGAAAUGCGAUACUUGGUGUGAAUUGCAGAAUCCCGUGAACCAUCGAGUCUUUGAACGCAAGUUGCGCCCGACGCCUUCUGGCCGAG